RNAcentral lists this ribosomal RNA (467 nucleotides) under uncultured bacterium. Its description in RNAcentral is "partial 16S ribosomal RNA". It matches the Rfam family "Bacterial small subunit ribosomal RNA", at positions 29 to 507 of the family's 1533-position model. The record is from RNAcentral.
ACGAACGCUGGCGGCGUGCUUAACACAUGCAAGUCGAACGGAAAGGCCCUGCUUUUGUGGGGUGCUCGAGUGGCGAACGGGUGAGUAACACGUGAGUAACCUGCCCUUGACUUUGGGAUAACUUCAGGAAACUGGGGCUAAUACCGGAUAGGAGCUCCUGCUGCAUGGUGGGGGUUGGAAAGUUUCGGCGGUUGGGGAUGGACUCGCGACUUAUCAGCUUGUUGGUGGGGUAGCGGCUUACCAAGGCUUUGACGGGUAGCCGGCCUGAGAGGGUGACCGGCCACAUUGGGACUGAGAUACGGCCCAGACUCCUACGGGAGGCAGCAGUGGGGAAUAUUGCACAAUGGGCGGAAGCCUGAUGCAGCAACGCCGCGUGCGGGAUGACGGCCUUCGGGUUGUAAACCGCUUUCGCCUGUGACGAAGCGUGAGUGACGGUAAUGGGUAAAGAAGCACCGGCUAACUACGUG